AUUGCCAAGUUUUUGCAGUAGGAGCAUGCUAGUAAUGAUACAGAGAAGAUUAGCAUGGCCCCUGUGCAAGGAUGACGUGCAAAUUCGUGAAGCGUUCCAUAUUUAA
This is a small nuclear RNA of Dromiciops gliroides (monito del monte), 106 nucleotides long. NCBI's taxonomy places the organism in Eukaryota, Metazoa, Chordata, Mammalia, Microbiotheria, Microbiotheriidae. The record is from RefSeq and is a predicted model, not a curated record.